Pseudophryne corroboree (corroboree frog) is the source of this 335-nucleotide long non-coding RNA. RefSeq lists it as uncharacterized. The record is from RefSeq and is a predicted model, not a curated record. The transcript has 4 exons. NCBI's taxonomy places the organism in Eukaryota, Metazoa, Chordata, Amphibia, Anura, Myobatrachidae.
GAUUGAUUACCUGGCAGCAGCUGAGGUAGCUACUCCUGGGUGGCCAAGAAGCCAAUCACUGUGUCUAUUGCAUGCAUGAUUGACGUGUCACUCCAGCUGAAGUGAAGAGCACAUAUCAGUUACAUUUAAUGAAGGUCAGGAGCAUCAUGCACAUCAUUUCUACAUGCAUGGUUGUCAUUUUCUCUUCUGCAGGAAUGUCCAGGACACUGAAGGUGCUCCAGAGUACUCCCACACCACAAAGACAUACUGGUUUGUCAUUGCAGUCUCAUCAGAACAUAUGGAAAAUGCAAAAAGAAUGGAGAAAGUAUAUAGAGAAAAAAGCAUGAUGGAACGUG